GGCUACGUGAGCGACGAGACCAUGGGCACCUUCGCGCCCAUCCUGCUCUACUGGGUCUACGCCGGCGGCUACCAGCUCGUCCUGCACCGCCGCCCGCUCCAGCGCUACAGGCUCCACACGCGGGCAGAGGAGGAGGACAAGAACCUCGUCACCCUCCCCGCCGUCGUGCGCGGCGUGCUCCUGCAGCAGCUCGUGCAGGCCAUCGUCGCCAUGAUCCUCUUCAUGAUUACUUCAGAUAGUUCAGUGGUUCUAGUCCAGCCAUCUAUGGUGGUUCAGUCGUUUCAGUUCUUGGUUGCAAUGCUGGUGAUGGACACAUGGCAAUAUUUUGUGCACCGCUACAUGCAUCAGAACAAAUUCCUCUACCGACAUAUCCACUCACAACAUCACCGGCUGAUCGUUCCUUACGCUAUCGGGGCUCUCUACAACCACCCACUGGAGGGGCUCCUACUGGACACUCUAGGUGGUGCUAUGUCCUUCCAGGUCUCUGGUAUGACGCCGAGGACAGCUGUAUUCUUCUUCUGUUUCGCUGUGCUCAAGACGGUCGAUGAUCACUGUGGACUUUGGUUGCCAUAUAACAUAUUCCAGCACUUGUUCCAAAAUAACACGGCGUACCAUGACAUCCACCAUCAGCUCCAGGGCACAAAGUACAACUACUCUCAGCCGUUCUUCUCAAUAUGGGACAGAAUGCUAGGAACCCACAUGGCCUACGACCUAGUGAGCCGAAAGGAAGGGGGAUUCGAAGCGAGGCCAUUGCGAGACUAG
RNAcentral lists this ribosomal RNA (762 nucleotides) under Triticum aestivum (bread wheat). RNAcentral's name for it is "partial small subunit ribosomal RNA". The record is from RNAcentral. Lineage: Eukaryota; Viridiplantae; Streptophyta; Magnoliopsida; Poales; Poaceae.